Molecule: transfer RNA, 85 nt
Filed under: Pseudomonadota bacterium
Lineage: Bacteria; Pseudomonadati; Pseudomonadota
Also listed under: 1 other name
Description: Proteobacteria bacterium tRNA-Leu
Rfam family: tRNA
About the family: Transfer RNA (tRNA) molecules are approximately 80 nucleotides in length. Their secondary structure includes four short double-helical elements and three loops (D, anti-codon, and T loops).
Source: RNAcentral
GCGUGGAUGGCGGAAUUGGUAGACGCGCCAGGUUGAGGGCCUGGUGAGGGUUAACUUCGUGGGGGUUCGACUCCCCCUCCGCGCA